GGGAAGGUGGCUCAGUGGUAGAGCACUUGCCUUGCAUGCUCGAGGCCCUGGGUUUGAUUCCUCAGUCCCA
RNAcentral lists this transfer RNA (70 nucleotides) under Dipodomys ordii (Ord's kangaroo rat). It matches the Rfam family "tRNA". Rfam says of the family: Transfer RNA (tRNA) molecules are approximately 80 nucleotides in length. Their secondary structure includes four short double-helical elements and three loops (D, anti-codon, and T loops). Lineage: Eukaryota; Metazoa; Chordata; Mammalia; Rodentia; Heteromyidae. The record is from Rfam by way of RNAcentral.